Molecule: long non-coding RNA, 304 nt
Filed under: Rattus norvegicus (Norway rat)
Lineage: Eukaryota; Metazoa; Chordata; Mammalia; Rodentia; Muridae
Description: long non-coding RNA NONRATT019803
Source: RNAcentral
GAUCCUGGAUAAUUCUCCUUUGUCCUGAAUGAAUCCCAGUAAAUCUCUCACCCUUGGCAGAGCUCACCAUUCCAGCUUGACUUAAAGUGCUUUGUGUAACUCAGCCUGGACACUCCUAUAUGCUCUGGCUUCAUGGCUGCCCAGCAAUGCAGUGUAGACAUGGCAGGACUGGAGAAGAGUGCCAGGAAAGAUAAGGAAACUAGCUUCCACUACACACCCUAAAGCAGCAAAAGGCACUUUUGUUUUCAAGCCAGUUACUAUAAAACACACCUGGCUUCACUUUGAACUAAGCCAUCCUAGGAAG